GACGAACGCUGGCGGCGUGCUUAACACAUGCAAGUCGAGCGGUAAGGCCCUCGGGUACGACGAGCGGCGAACGGGUGAGUAACACGUGGGUGACCUGCCCUUCACUCUGGGAUAAGCCUGGGAAACUGGGUCUAAUACCGGAUAUGACCUGCUCUCGCAUGGGGGUUGGGUGGAAAGUCAGUAUUGUAGUGAUGCUGGCGGGUGGGGAGU
RNAcentral lists this ribosomal RNA (210 nucleotides) under uncultured bacterium. RNAcentral's name for it is "partial 16S ribosomal RNA". It matches the Rfam family "Bacterial small subunit ribosomal RNA", at positions 28 to 230 of the family's 1533-position model. The record is from RNAcentral.